UGGAGGGCAAGUCUGGUGCCAGCAGCCGCGGUAAUUCCAGCUCCAAUAGCGUAUAUUAAAGUCGUUGCAGUUAAAAAGCUCGUAGUUGAAUUUUGGGUCUGGCCGGGCGGUCCGCCCUCUGGGUGAGCACUGUUCCGACGUCGGGCCUAUCCUUCUGGUGAGUCGGCAUGUCCUUUAUUGGGUGUGUCGGGGAACCAGGACCAUUACCUUGAAAAAAUUAGAGUGUUCAAAGCAGGCGUAUGCUCGGAUACAUUAGCAUGGAAUAAUGAAAUAGGACGCGUGGUGCUAUUUUGUUGGUUUCUAGAACCGCCGUAAUGAUUAAUAGGGAUAGUUGGGGGCAUUAGUAUUCAAUUGUCAGAGGUGAAAUUCUUGGAUUUAUUGAAGACUAACUUCUGCGAAAGCAUUUGCCAAGGAUGUUUUCAUUAAUCAAGAACGAAAGUUAGGGGAUCGAAGACGAUCAGAUACCGUCGUAGUCUUAACCAUAAACUAUGCCGACUAGGAAUCGGGCGAUGUUAUUCUCAUGACUCGCCCGGCGCCUUAUGGGAAAC
This 548-nucleotide ribosomal RNA is filed under the name uncultured Glomus. RNAcentral's name for it is "SSU rRNA". It matches the Rfam family "Eukaryotic small subunit ribosomal RNA", at positions 549 to 1098 of the family's 1831-position model. Lineage: Eukaryota; Fungi; Glomeromycota; Glomeromycetes; Glomerales; Glomeraceae. The record is from RNAcentral.